AAAAAGACAAAACCUAGGUUUCCGUGUCCAACGUUUGACUAUCCGUCUUAUAUGAAUUUUUUUUAUAAUUAGUAUUUUCAUUGCUGUUAGAUGAUAAAACAUGAUUAAUACUCUAUGCGUGACUUGUCUAUUUAAUUUUUUUUCAUAUUUUUUUCAAAUAAGACGGACGGUCAAACGUUGGAUACGGAAACCCAAGGUUUGUCUUUUU
Non-coding RNA from Oryza barthii, 208 nucleotides. NCBI's taxonomy places the organism in Eukaryota, Viridiplantae, Streptophyta, Magnoliopsida, Poales, Poaceae. The record is from Rfam.